GAUGAACGCUGGCGGCGUGCCUAAUACAUGCAAGUCGAGCGAACAGACGAGGUGCUUGCUCCUCUGACGUUAGCGGCGGACGGGUGAGUAACACGUGGAUAACCUACCUAUAAGACUGGGAUAACUUCUGGAAACGGGAGCUAAUACCGGAUAAUAUAUUGAACCACAUGGUUCAAUAGUGAAAGACGCUUUUGCUGUCACUUAUAGUUAUCUCCGCGCCUAAUUAGUUAGUUGGUAAGGUAACGGCUUACCAAGGCAACGAUGCGUAGCCGACCUGAGAGGGUGAUCGGCCACACGGGAACUGGAACACGGUCCAGACUCCUACGGGAGGCAGCAGUAGGGAAUCUUCGGCAAUGGGCGAAAGCUUGACGGAGCAACGCCGGGUGAGUGAUGAAGGUCUUCGGAUCGUAAAACUCUGUUAUAAGGGAAGAACAAAUGUGUAAGUAACUAUGCACGUCUUGACGGUACCUAAUCAGAAAGCCACGGCUAACUACGUG
RNAcentral lists this ribosomal RNA (497 nucleotides) under uncultured bacterium. RNAcentral's name for it is "partial 16S ribosomal RNA". It matches the Rfam family "Bacterial small subunit ribosomal RNA", at positions 28 to 507 of the family's 1533-position model. The record is from RNAcentral.